Acanthopagrus latus (yellowfin seabream) is the source of this 720-nucleotide long non-coding RNA. RefSeq lists it as uncharacterized. Lineage: Eukaryota; Metazoa; Chordata; Actinopteri; Spariformes; Sparidae. The transcript is spliced from 3 exons. The record is from RefSeq and is a predicted model, not a curated record.
UUAAGCACAAGUAUCCUCCUGGAGGACACUGGGUUGUAUUUCUGUAGCCUCAUGUAUAAAGUACACUAUCUAUAUUAAAAAAAAAAAGAAAAGAAAAGAAAGAAAUGUCCAGCAGAGGUAUGAAAAUGUCGACCCCUGAACCCACAACUGGCAUCCCAACGCAGGCGUUUAAGGAAUGUGCCCGUGAACCGAGGAACCAGAGAGUUUAAGGAUACUUGCAACAGAUCCAGAGCUGGACUUGGCCUGAGGGAAGCUGCGGUCUGUGCUGCCGACGGUCACUGAAUGAUACUCGGUAGAUUUCUGUGCAUGUGCAAAUGCAUCUGUGCGAGCGUUUAUGGGCUUUUUUUUUUUAUUUUUCCGUUUCAACAUUUUUCGCCACACUGACUGAAAUAUGAAUAUUUGAACCUUCUUGCUGACUUUCAGUGAAUGAAAUUAGUAUUCUCACUGCUAAACUUUUCUCUAAUUAUAUGAUUCAAAGCAACUUUAUGUAAUUUUUUACCUUGAAAUGACAUAACACUGUUUUGACGCACAGAGUUUUGUUUGUUGCAAGCACUUACACACGACAAACUGUUGCACACUGGGGAUAUUUAUAUUUACAACAGUGGUGUUGUUCUACAUAAUGUUUCUUUGUAUAAUUUCAUAUUCUUUUAAGCUACUUUACUAUUUUAUCUCCUCUGCACGCUUAAGUCUUAAUUGCAAUAACAGUGACUUGAAUUGUGA